GAUGAUGGGAAGGCGGGAGAUGAUGAUAAAGUCUCAUUUUGCUCUUGCAACCAAGUCUAUACCUUGGAGUGUAACUUGGUUGAACAAACUGUUAGAGUGACUUUGGAAUUGAAAUGUUUUUCUAAAAAGUAUUUUCUCAACAUUGUCUCAUCUUUCCUCUACAGAUUUACCUUUACAUUUGUGUUUAUCUCAUCUUUCUGUGAACUUUUAAAAUUGAUUCCUAUCCAUUACUAUCAAUAAACCACUAACCUGAUUAUUCAUCUUAACCCAUGAAAUUUCAACGAUAUGUAAACAUCAUUGAGUUACAUUACAACAUUUUACCGAGUUGUUAAUGUUGCCGUUGGCUUGGUCUGUUGACAUUACCAACAGAGUCAUGUGUUGCCAGUGAAAAACGGAUUACAAUUGAAAUCAAUUUACAGUCGUGAUUACAAUCAACAAGUUACAUCAGUUUGUGUUUAAAUUGUGUUCCCAGACCAGUCUUGUUAAUUCAAAUCAACUAUUGAAUUAACUAUUGAAAGACUUAGUGAUUUUGUGUAAUUGAUUUGUGUGUUCAUCUUUGUGUGUGUUUAACGUCUAUUGAAUAUGAAACCUGGUAAAGGAUUUUCUGGUAAAUCAAAUUCACCAGGUCGAGAUAAAGGUUCAACCCAAUCAUCUCAACCGUUAAUGUCAUCAAUUCAACAAUCAUCUUCACAGUCCCCAGAAUCAGCAACAUCUCAAGGGAAAUCAGCUAAAAAUCGAGAUUCUUCUAAACCAAUUUCUACCUUACAAAAUAUUAACAUUGAUCAAAAUAUUUCUCACCCUUGUCCACCCUCUUCACAUCAUCAACACCAACGGCGACUCAGUUCAUUGGAUGGACGCCACGAGGCACCCACAAUGACCGGAGCUCUUGAUUCUUCCGGUUGGCCCUCAAUUAAACCAAAAAGGAAAGGAUUAUCAAUUAUGUUUAAUGCUUCCAAAUCAACCAUUUUCUUAUCUUUUUUGUGUCUUAUGGCUUUUACCCUAUCAACAUUAAGCCUUGUCCGUAAUAUACAAUUAGAGAAGCGAUUACUAUCAUUGGAAGCUUUGUGUGCUGAUUAUAAAGUUAAAUUAAACAAUCAAUAUUAUGACCAACCCAAUUCGCUAUCAUUGCUCCAACAAUCGCCCUCAUCAACAUUCCCAUCUCAAUUGGAUCAUCAUUCAUCGUCGGUAAAUGAACCCGAUGAUUUCAAUGAAUCAGCUUUAACUAAUGAAAAUGUUAACCUAAAAGGAUUACAACCUAACCAACAAUUAAUCAAUUCAAGUUUUGUGCCCAUAACUGUUCUUGAAAAUAUUGUUAAACAGAAACUCAAUCGACAUCUAAGAUCACUCUCAUCGCGGAUAAAACGUCAAACAACAUCUGAUUGUAAAUGUCCAGCGGGUCCUCCUGGAAAAAGAGGAAAACGCGGUAAAAAAGGUGAACCAGGAACACUUGGAUCUCCGGGACCUGUCGGACCUCCUGGUAAACCUGGUUUCCCUGGCGCGAUCGGCAUUGAUGGUCCAAAAGGUGAUCCGGGAGAGAAGGGUGAUAAAGGAGAUAAAGGUGAAAGUGGAUUUGAUUUAUUCACAACGACAAAGGGUGGCGUUAAACGGUCAGUUACCCAAUUACAAGGAGGACCGCUUGGGUAUGCUGAAGUAAUUGCUCUCAAGGGUGAACCUGGAAACCCUGGACCACCUGGACCUCCUGGUCCACCAGGACUAACUGGAUUACCAGGUUUCGAUGGAAGAAUUGGAUCUCCUGGUGAACCGGGUCCAAGAGGUGAAGCUGGACCUCCUGGGCCUACAGGUCCUCUAGGCCCUAUUGGUAAGGAUGGUUUGCCUGGACCAAAGGGUGAUAAAGGAGACAAGGGCGAUCGUGGGUUAACGACAACAUUGGAUGGCAAUGCUUUCCCAACUGGAUUCAUUGAAGGACCUGCUGGACCUCCAGGACCUCCUGGACCAGCUGGACCACCGGGUCGCAAGGGUAAAGCCGGUAAAGCGGGUCCUCCUGGAGAUGUUGGACCAAAAGGUGACAUUGGCUUAACAGGCAGUAAAGGCGAGAAGGGUGACAUUGGAUUACCUGGACCUCAGGGUGAACAAGGUCUUAUUGGUCGCGACGGAUUAGAUGGGUCAGCAGGGGCUCAAGGACCUCCAGGACCUCCGGGUGAAAAGGGCGAUAAAGGUCAUCAGGGUGACAUUGGUCCACCAGGUAUGAUGGGUCCACCUGGUUUGCCGGGACCACCAGGAACAACAGGGUCUAAAGGUGAUAAAGGUGAUAAAGGUGAUCUUGUGCCUCAAGCAAUGCGUUACAUGAAAGAUUACGAGGCUUUUGGAGAUAGGAUUGAAUCAUUAUCUGGACCACCAGGUCCUCCUGGACCACAGGGUGAACCAGGAGUUCGAGGUCCUCCAGGCAUGAAAGGUGAACCUGGUAACGAUGGAGCUAAAGGUUCUCAGGGAGAAAGAGGUGAAAAAGGCGACCAAGGACCAAUGGGAUUACCUGGUCCUGCUGGUAUCAAAGGAGAGCCUGGUUUUCCUGGUAUUCCGGGUAGAUCUGGAUUAAUGACUCCAAAAAUGCCUGUUGCUCCGCCAUCGGUUAUAUAAUAUUAACAUUAACUACAUAAACCUGCCAUACUAACAAAUUUAAACGCUAAUUAACCACUUUUUUCUAGCAAUCUGAUUCUAUGAGAAUCCAAUCAGAUGGACAUUUUUCUUUGGAUGAAUUGAAUAAAAGGAGACACCGAGAUGCCGAGAGGAGGCACAAACACCAUUUGGAAAAGAAUCGUCAUCUAGAGAAAAAACAUAGGAUAAGACAUGAAAGAACUGAAAAGCCUGAUGAAUUGCUUCUAUAAAUUUACUGACCAAUCUCCUGUUAAAUAUACACUGCAAAUGCCAAAACUGAAGAUCGCUUCUUUAUGGUUAAAAAGCUUUUUAUACAACACUUCCAGCUCAAGUUAUCAUUAUCAUUGCUGGCAUCAUCAACAUUAGCAUUUUUUCUUCCUUCUUUUGGAAUGGUCAACGUUUUAUUGACAAAUAUGGCCUCAUAAGCAUAUUCAUGGAAAAUUGGACAAAAUCAAGGGAACAAAUUUCCUACCAAUUAAUCAAGUCAAGUCAAUUAUUGAUGUAUAGAAUGUGAAACCAGAGGAAACUCUGUUCAAUUAAUCGUUACACUAAACAAGAGACCAAGUGAAAGAAUAAUGAAUAUCAAUCCUUAAAUUGUUUGACUAAACCUUUCUACAACAAUCUAAGUCAAAUUUUAACCAUAAUAUCCAACUCUUGUCUUCCUUGAUUUUCAUCAUCCUCUGUAUUUCACUUUUAUCUCUCAUUUUAAUUUUUGUCAAUCGGCACUUUUCACCAAUUCCAAUCUUUCUUUUGAUCAUGUAAACUCAGUGGUCUAUGCAUUGUUUUUUUGCCAAUCCUCAUCAUUUAUCUUCAUCAAAAUAACUACAUUUUUCGUCUUUUGUAAAAGUUUAUGCAACAAAAAAACAGUCUUUUAAUUAACUAUGUAAUGUACGAACCAUGAUAAUUUUUACUUAUUAAUUUUUUCUCAAUAACAAUUCCACCAGAUUUAUCAUAAAACACAACCAACAUGAAGGAUAUGAAAACAAAACAAUGAUCAUACUGUUUAGACAAACAAAACGAUUCACAUUAGAAAAUAAAUAAAAUAACUUUUUUUGACUGAA
Tetranychus urticae (two-spotted spider mite) is the source of this 3674-nucleotide non-coding RNA. The record is from RefSeq and is a predicted model, not a curated record. Lineage: Eukaryota; Metazoa; Arthropoda; Arachnida; Trombidiformes; Tetranychidae.